AUGCUGGGCUAAGACAAGGGGCAGAGGCAGAGAGAGAGAGAGGAGCCACCCUGAGAAGGAAGAGACCAGGUGGGCUCUGAGACAGGGAGACCCUUUCUACGUCGGUGCCUUGACAUGUGACUUUUUUGUCACUUCGUGCUCCAGGAUCACACCUGGAUGAACUAUCACUUUCAAAUGACCUUGUCUUUUCUCGGGCCUUCUGAACUGAUCAUCUCUUCCUUCUGAUACAAGAGGAUCUUCCCUGGAAGACCACUGCACACCUUCUAGUAACACUGCGACCCUGGAUAAUAUUCUACUUUGAAGAACACCAGUAGACCGAAGCAAGAUGACUAAUUUUUAAUGCCAAAGUAUGCAAAACCUGCCACUUCACUGGCAAGCCAUGAAUUAUUCAUAAAUAUAGACUUGGUUAAUAUCUUUAAAAAUGCA
This 426-nucleotide long non-coding RNA is filed under the name Homo sapiens (human). RNAcentral describes it as "non-protein coding lnc-DHX37-9:14". The record is from RNAcentral. Lineage: Eukaryota; Metazoa; Chordata; Mammalia; Primates; Hominidae.